Long non-coding RNA from Medicago truncatula (barrel medic), 420 nucleotides. RefSeq lists it as uncharacterized. The transcript has 2 exons. The record is from RefSeq and is a predicted model, not a curated record. Lineage: Eukaryota; Viridiplantae; Streptophyta; Magnoliopsida; Fabales; Fabaceae.
GUUCAAAUUAUUUUUAUUUAUUACAUUUAAAAAGAGAAAAACAUGACUGGUGUUCUCAAGUUUGUUUAUACCAUGGUCUUUUUUCUUUCCCUAUUUCUUAUUGCUAUUGACAUUAAAGUUGAAGCUUUUCUUAGAUGUGAUUUUGACCUCGAUUGUCCACCUAAAAUGUGUUAUAGUCAUCUUUAUUUUGUUCCAAUGUGUGUUGACAACCACUGUGAUUGUACUCAAUGGAAAGAUAUAAUACCAACAAUCCCUUAGGCUUUUCCAUGAUUUAAACUUAUGUAUUUAUUAAUUUGUACUUUAAGAUAAAGAUAAUGAAAAGAAAUAAGACAGAAGAAAAUAAUUCCUAUAUUAGAUCUUUCUUAAUUUGGGACGUAUCCUAUGACCUCUCAUUCAAAUAUAUAUCACUUUUCUUUCUAA